UUCCCUAGUACGGCGAGUGAAGCGGGAAGAGCUCAAAUUUGAAAUCUGGUAGCCUUCGGUUGCCCGAGUUGUAAUCUAGAGAAGUGUUUUCCGCGUUGGCCCAUGUACAAGUCCCUUGGAACAGGGCGUCAUAGAGGGUGAGAAUCCCGUCCUUGACAUGGACCCCCAAUGCUUUGUGAUACACUUUCAACGAGUCGAGUUGUUUGGGAAUGCAGCUCAAAAUGGGUGGUGAAUUCCAUCUAAAGCUAAAUAUUGGCGAGAGACCGAUAGCGAACAAGUACCGUGAGGGAAAGAUGAAAAGCACUUUGGAAAGAGAGUUAAACAGUACGUGAAAUUGUUGAAAGGGAAACGAUUGAAGUCAGUCAUGCUCUUUGGAUUAAGCCGUUCUGCGGUGUAUUUCAUUGAGCGGGGUCAACAUCAGUUUUGAUCGCUGGAAAAGGGCAGGAGGAAGGUAGCACUCUCGGGUGAACUUAUAGCCUCUUGUCGUAUACAGUGAUUGGGACUGAGGAACGCAGCAUGCCUUUUGGCCGGGAUUCGUCCACGUACAUGCUUAGGAUGUUGACAUAAUGGCUUUAAACGACCCGUCUUGAACCACGGGACCA
RNAcentral lists this ribosomal RNA (602 nucleotides) under Naganishia friedmannii. Its description in RNAcentral is "eukaryotic LSU rRNA". It matches the Rfam family "Eukaryotic large subunit ribosomal RNA", at positions 76 to 664 of the family's 3401-position model. Lineage: Eukaryota; Fungi; Basidiomycota; Tremellomycetes; Filobasidiales; Filobasidiaceae. The record is from RNAcentral.